UGAUGAGCAGAUGUCUUUGCAGAAGUA
RNAcentral lists this non-coding RNA (27 nucleotides) under Homo sapiens (human). Lineage: Eukaryota; Metazoa; Chordata; Mammalia; Primates; Hominidae. The record is from RNAcentral.